UUACUCUCCGGGAUGCAACGUUCAGAGAGGAUCCAUGUCAACACCGACACGUGCACUGAGCUUUAAAGGGGCGCGAGGACGUCACGUGUGACCGCUCCUCAAAGUAAAGUUGAUAGUUGGUGCUAAACUUGCUAACAUGCUAACCUCUUCACCAGCUGUUCGCUACCCCCCCGGUGCUGAACGUGCUUACAUCUCCACUAGUUGUUAGCUACAGGGCGGUGCUAACAUGCUAACAUCUUAACUGGACACAACUCAAGCUAGCGUUAGCCGGAUAGCUCCAUAGCUAGCAGGCUUUGUGGAUUCAUCCUGACGCUGACUUGUUCGCUUUCAGGACCCUGAAGCAGCUAAAAAGAUGGUAGCCGACCCCUCUCACCCCGGACAAAACCUGUUUGUGCCCCUUCCGUCUGGCAGGAGGCUGAGGUCCAUCAAGACUAAGACCUCCCACCACACCAACAGUUUCUUCCCGU
This is a long non-coding RNA of Gasterosteus aculeatus aculeatus (three-spined stickleback), 467 nucleotides long. The record is from Ensembl. Lineage: Eukaryota; Metazoa; Chordata; Actinopteri; Perciformes; Gasterosteidae.